GGACUACUCGGGUAUCUAAUCCUGUUCGCUCCCCACGCUUUCGCUCCUCAGCGUCAGUUUCGGCCCAGAGACCCGCCUUCGCCACCGGUGUUCCUCCUGAUAUCUGCGCAUUUCACCGCUACACCAGGAAUUCCAGUCUCCCCUACCGAACUCUAGUCUGCCCGUAUCGACUGCAGGCCCGAGGUUGAGCCUCGGGUUUUCACAGCCGACGUGACAGACCGCCUACGAGCUCUUUACGCCCAAUAAUUCCGGACAACGCUUGCACCCUACGUAUUACCGCGGCGGCUGGCAC
This 292-nucleotide ribosomal RNA is filed under the name uncultured bacterium. Its description in RNAcentral is "partial 16S ribosomal RNA". The record is from RNAcentral.